UUUGAAUAAAAUAUCCCAGCGGGAUAAUGGUUCACUGCUUACAUUUUUCUUUGAAGAAUGCUUCGAAGAAAAUUUUAUGUACAAUUCUUCGAUACCAGGUAAUGCAUAAAAGUAAGCUAUGCGGAAUAAUGUUUCCCCGCUUACAUUUUUCUUUGAAGAAUGCUUCGAAGAAAAUUCUAUGUAGAAUUCUUCGAUACCAGGUAAUGCAUAAAAGUAAGCUAUGCGGAAUAAUGUUUCCCCGCUUACAUUUUUCUUUGAAGAAUACUUCGAAGAAAAUUCUAUCUAAAAUUCUUCGAUACCAGGUAAUGCAUAAAAGUAAGCUAUGCGGCUAAAUUCUACUGUGUUCAUAUUUACAAGUCAAGUAAGUACGUGAAAAACGACAAAUACAAAUUGAUGGAAUAAAAUUUAUAAGUAAAUUUUUUCAUUAUUUCGUCAAAUCAUCAAGCAAAAAGUUGGUUACUAUUUGGUAAGUAUUUCGUGUUUUUAACAUUGAAGGACAUAGCUUCAAAUUUAUAAACAUACUCUUUCAACUUUUUUGUAGAAUGUGUGAAAGUUGAAGGCUUCACCGAAUCGGAGUAUAUUCACCAAAUUCAAAAAGUUAUCAAACUCGCCAAACGCAGUUUCUUCAAGUCUCGUUGCUUGAAAAAAACGGCAAGAGAC
Molecule: long non-coding RNA, 660 nt
Organism: Bactrocera dorsalis (oriental fruit fly)
Lineage: Eukaryota; Metazoa; Arthropoda; Insecta; Diptera; Tephritidae
Exons: 2
Source: RefSeq, a predicted model, not a curated record